Molecule: non-coding RNA, 2052 nt
Organism: Lolium perenne
Lineage: Eukaryota; Viridiplantae; Streptophyta; Magnoliopsida; Poales; Poaceae
Source: RefSeq, a predicted model, not a curated record
UUUGCACAAACUGUUCAGAUUUUGUAAAAUGCAUAUCUCUUGAACCAUAACUCAAAAUCAAAAGUGUUGUAUAUGAAUUUUGAUCAGAAAAAUAUAAGGAACAUGAAUAUGCCAUCCAUUCAGCUGUUUGCAUCUCGCAUCAUGUCGCGCCGUGAUAGUUUAUGCAUUUCACCUCACAUAUAUGCGGAGUAUUUUGGAACACCGAUAGGGUUUCCUCGCUCUGUUUAAUAUUGAAGUAGCUCACCCUUGCCAUGCUAUGCCAUGCUAACAACCACUUAAAUUUGCCGGUAGAAAAUGCAACUCCAACUCUAAUUUGUUUGUCCGGGGUUCCGACUCCGAUUAAAUUGAAUAAGAUGCAUUGCACCAUCUAUGCCAUGUCAUGCAUAUCAUCAUGAACACGCUGGAUCUUCUUUAUCCGUAGUUGUAAGACUUGCAUACGUUGUGUGUUCUAGCAUUUGCUUCUUCCCGGAUAGGAUCGCGAAGUGGUGUUGUGAGAUACGACAAGUUCUCCGGAUGUUCCUCGGCAAGCAUUAACAGGCAAGCAUUUCCCCUAUACUUCUGCCCCUGCAGAAGUCACUCACCUAUUUUAUUUUUGCCUUCUCCCUCAUGCUAUCCUUAAGUUGCGUUCUUGUCACGUGUCCUUUCCACUUGUUACCUCAAGCAGCCCAUAUUGCCACCACCACCUCCUACGGCUAUUGUUUGGUUAUCGAGUCUGCCCUUGCGAGUCGUAGUGCAUGCUAGUGCUGUUUUAUCUCGUUACCGUUAUUGUUAUCUUAUUGGGUUAUAUGUUGGGAAGAAUCAUGGUUACUUUAGUUGUUGAUAUUUGUUUAGCGGAGGCAUCGGUGGGUCAGCUGCUUGUUUUGUGACGGCUCACUUGUGUUUCCUAAAUAACUUAGGACCCCGGGUUCUUGUUAUCUGUUCCGAGACUGAGCGCUCUAACCACACGUGGGUAUGCUUACCGGGUCUCCCCUCGACCACUGCCGGAAUCUACAGCUUUGUCCAGUGGCCACAACUAGUUUGGAUGUUUGUUUUGUUUCUCCCGGGCGUGCAAGCUUGUUUCUUUGUGGUCAGAUGAUAUGAUGUUACUAUUGGGGAAGCCAUGUUGCCUUGUAACCCCGUUGUCUCUUGCACGUCCGUAGGUGCGGCACGUAUUGUUAAGAGGUCAUCCUCUAGUGGGCUCUGAUCCUCUUAGCCGUUCUCGCAAUAGCUAGGUCCGCGUCAGAGUUCCGAUCGGGCUCUGAAACGGGUUAACUUAGUUAGGUGGCUUCCUGGACAUUGUUGUAGUGAAGGAGAGUGCGUGUCGUGAUAUCCACCUGUCGUAAGUGGGUUGAUCGUGCGUGUGGGCACAUUUGGGCACCCCUGCAGGGUUACAAUCUUAUCGAUAAGCCGUGUCCGCGGUUAUGGACGACUUGGAGCUGUAUGACUUGACCAUAGACAACUUACACCUGUUGUUUCAAUACUAAUAACUUGCGUAGUAAGAUAGAACAACUCAAAUAAUAACUGGUUAAAACUUGACAACCAUGUGAGUGCCUUUGUAAGUACCUCUUUGCGAAGGGGGAACACAUCGGCUGUGUUAUGUUUGCAGAGUAUAGAACUGUUAGUUUAUGCGCUCUCUCACCUUCUCUGAUUAGACGAAUGUUGUAGAGUGUCUCUAUAGGUUUUUAGUGCUUUCGCGCUGCCGCUUAACCCCACCAUAUUGCCUAUGACGUUCCUCUUGCGUCCUCUAAGUCCCCUGCGUGCCUCAAGUACAAAGGUCGACUGGUUGACGAAUGCUUACACGUCUUGAAGUCUUGUUAAGUACGAACCCGUACUUAUUGCUGCUUCUACGGGAUAUAACCGGGCAGGUAUGAACAUAUGUUCGAUGAAGACGACGUUAGCAAGGUUACCCUUCCGGCUUGGCCUGGGCAGGGUUAUGGACGUCACUGGUUAUCUUCAGAACUCUUAGUCCAAAUUUGUAUCUUGUCCGUACUCGGACGUAUUCGAUCUUCUAUAUGAUUUGGAUCUUUGUAUUGUAUAUUUGUAUCUUGACUCGUUGGAGUCGUUGUUGUAAUA